Molecule: ribosomal RNA, 432 nt
Filed under: Amphora sp. NC1_1
Lineage: Eukaryota; Bacillariophyta; Bacillariophyceae; Surirellales; Surirellaceae
Description: SSU rRNA
Rfam family: Eukaryotic small subunit ribosomal RNA
Source: RNAcentral
GCUCGUAGUUGGAUUUGUGGCGGUCCCUGCGGUCCAAUUUUGGUACUGCCGGGGACCGCCAUCCUUGGGUGGAUCCUGUGUGGCAUUAGGUUGUCGUGCAGGGGAUGCCCAUCGUUUACUGUGAAAAAAUUAGAGUGUUCAAAGCAGGCUGACGCCGUUGAAUAUAUUAGCAUGGAAUAAUGAGAUAGGACCUUGGUACUAUUUUGUUGGUUUGCGCACCGAGGUAAUGAUUAAUAGGGACAGUUGUGGGUAUUCGUAUUCCAUUGUCAGAGGUGAAAUUCUUGGAUUUCUGGAAGACGAACUAAUGCGAAAGCAUUUAUCAAGGAUGUUUUCAUUAAUCAAGAACGAAAGUUAGGGGAUCGAAGAUGAUUAGAUACCAUCGUAGUCUUAACCAUAAACCAUGCCGACAAGGGAUUGGCGGGGUCUCGUUAC